GAUGAACGCUGGCGGCGUGCUUAACACAUGCAAGUCGAACGAUGAAGCCCAGCUUGCUGGGUGGAUUAGUGGCGAACGGGUGAGUAACACGUGAGUAACCUGCCCUUGACUCUGGGAUAAGCCCGGGAAACUGGGUCUAAUACCGGAUAGGAGCGCCUGUCGCAUGACGGGUGCUGGAAAGAUUUUUCGGUCAUGGAUGGACUCGCGGCCUAUCAGCUUGUUGGUGAGGUAAUGGCUCACCAAGGCGACGACGGGUAGCCGGCCUGAGAGGGUGACCGGCCACACUGGGACUGAGACACGGCCCAGACUCCUACGGGAGGCAGCAGUGGGGAAUAUUGCACAAUGGGCGGAAGCCUGAUGCAGCGACGCCGCGUGAGGGAUGACGGCCUUCGGGUUGUAAACCUCUUUCAGCAGGGAAGAAGCGA
Molecule: ribosomal RNA, 425 nt
Filed under: Micrococcus sp. oral taxon F54
Lineage: Bacteria; Bacillati; Actinomycetota; Actinomycetes; Micrococcales; Micrococcaceae
Description: bacterial SSU rRNA
Rfam family: Bacterial small subunit ribosomal RNA
Source: RNAcentral